CGGUGAGGUGUCCGAGUGGUCGAAGGAGCACGCCUGGAAAGUGUGUAUGUCGCAAGGCAUCGAGGGUUCGAAUCCCUCCCUCACCGCCAU
This 90-nucleotide transfer RNA is filed under the name Teredinibacter turnerae T7901. RNAcentral's name for it is "tRNA-Ser". It matches the Rfam family "tRNA". From Rfam's summary of the family: Transfer RNA (tRNA) molecules are approximately 80 nucleotides in length. The record is from RNAcentral. Lineage: Bacteria; Pseudomonadati; Pseudomonadota; Gammaproteobacteria; Cellvibrionales; Cellvibrionaceae.